CCUACGGGAGGCAGCAGUAGGGAAUCUUCCACAAUGGACGAAAGUCUGAUGGAGCAACGCCGCGUGAGUGAAGAAGGGUUUCGGCUCGUAAAGCUCUGUUGGUAGUGAAGAAAGAUAGAGGUAGUAACUGGCCUUUAUUUGACGGUAAUUACUUAGAAAGUCACGGCUAACUACGUGCCAGCAGCCGCGGUAAUACGUAGGUGGCAAGCGUUGUCCGGAUUUAUUGGGCGUAAAGGGAGUGCAGGCGGUUUAAUAAGUCUGAUGUGAAAGCCUUCGGCUCAACCGGAGAAUUGCAUCAGAAACUGGUGACCUUGAGUGCAGAAGAGGAGAGUGGAACUCCAGGUGUAGCGGUGGAAUGCGUAGAUAUAUGGAAGAACACCAGUGGCGAAGGCGGCUCUCUGGGCUGCAACUGACGCUGAGGCUCGAAAGCAUGGGUAGCGAACAGGAUUAGAUACCCUAGUAGUC
This 465-nucleotide ribosomal RNA is filed under the name uncultured bacterium. Its description in RNAcentral is "partial 16S ribosomal RNA". It matches the Rfam family "Bacterial small subunit ribosomal RNA", at positions 338 to 795 of the family's 1533-position model. The record is from RNAcentral.